UGGGGAAUUUUGGACAAUUGGGGAAACCCUGAUCCAGCCAUCCCGCGUGUGCGAUGAAGGCCUUCGGGUUGUAAAGCACUUUUGGCAGGAAAGAAACGUCAUGGGUUAAUACCCCGUGAAACUGACGGUACCUGCAGAAUAAGCACCGGCUAACUACGUGCCAGCAGCCGCGGUAAUACGUAGGGUGCAAGCGUUAAUCGGAAUUACUGGGCGUAAAGCGUGCGCAGGCGGUUCGGAAAGAAAGAUGUGAAAUCCCAGAGCUCAACUUUGGAACUGCAUUUUUAACUACCGGGCUAGAGUGUGUCAGAGGGAGGUUGAAUUCCGCGUGUAGCAGUGAAAUGCGUAGAUAUGCGGAGGAACACCGAUGGCGAAGGCAGCCUCCUGGGAUAACACUGACGCUCAUGCACGAAAGCGUGGGGAGCAAACAGG
RNAcentral lists this ribosomal RNA (429 nucleotides) under Acidobacteriota bacterium. Its description in RNAcentral is "Acidobacteria bacterium partial 16S ribosomal RNA". It matches the Rfam family "Bacterial small subunit ribosomal RNA", at positions 355 to 776 of the family's 1533-position model. The record is from RNAcentral. Lineage: Bacteria; Pseudomonadati; Acidobacteriota.